RNAcentral lists this non-coding RNA (31 nucleotides) under Mus musculus (house mouse). The record is from RNAcentral. Lineage: Eukaryota; Metazoa; Chordata; Mammalia; Rodentia; Muridae.
GAUAACACUCCAUUUUGUAAAUCAGACGGCA